Molecule: non-coding RNA, 72 nt
Organism: Equus caballus (horse)
Lineage: Eukaryota; Metazoa; Chordata; Mammalia; Perissodactyla; Equidae
Source: Rfam
AUCUGACCCCAAAGGCUGUGCUUGCACAGGAGCCCAAGGAGGUGCCUCUGAGCCCAGCCUUGGAGGUGAGUC